AGAGCGAACGCUGGCGGCAGGCCUAACACAUGCAAGUCGAGCGCCCGUAGCAAUACGGGAGCGGCAGACGGGAUAGUAACACGUGGGAACGCGCCCUUCGGUUCGGAAUAACUCAGGGAAACUUGUGCUAAUACCGGAUAAGCCCUUACGGGGAAAGAUUUAUCGCCAAAGGAUCGGCCCGCGUCUGAUUAGCUUGUUGGUGAGGUAACGGCUCACCAAGGCUACGAUCAGUAGCUGGUCUGAGAGGAUGAUCAGCCUCACUGGGACUGAGACACGGCCCAGACUCCUACGGGAGGCAGCAGUGGGGAAUAUUGGACAAUGGGCGCAAGCCUGAUCCAGCCAUGCCGCGUGGAUGAUGAAGGCCUUAGGGUUGUAAAGUCCUUUUAACGGGGAAGAUAAUGACGGUACCGUAGAAUAAGCCCGGCUAACUUCGUGCCAGCAGCCGC
Molecule: ribosomal RNA, 446 nt
Filed under: uncultured bacterium
Lineage: Bacteria
Description: SSU rRNA
Rfam family: Bacterial small subunit ribosomal RNA
Source: RNAcentral